RNAcentral lists this ribosomal RNA (207 nucleotides) under uncultured delta proteobacterium. RNAcentral describes it as "partial 16S ribosomal RNA". It matches the Rfam family "Bacterial small subunit ribosomal RNA", at positions 568 to 774 of the family's 1533-position model. Lineage: Bacteria; Deltaproteobacteria. The record is from RNAcentral.
CGUGUAGGCUGCUCGGAAAGUCGGAUGUGAAAGCCCUGGGCUCAACCUAGGAAGUGCAUUCGAAACUUCCGAGCUGGAGUGCUGGAGAGGAAGGCGGAAUUCUCGGUGUAGAGGUGAAAUUCGUAGAUAUCGAGAGGAACAUCGGUGGCGAAGGCGGCCUUCUGGACAGCGACUGACGCUGAGACGCGAAAGCGUGGGGAGCAAACA